GAACAUGAGAGUUUGAUCCUGGCUCAGGAUGAACGCUGGCGGCGUGCUUAACACAUGCAAGUCGAACGAAACACCUUAUUUGAUUUUCUUCGGAACUGAAGAUUUGGUGAUUGAGUGGCGGACGGGUGAGUAACGCGUGGGUAACCUGCCCUGUACAGGGGGAUAACAGUCAGAAAUGACUGCUAAUACCGCAUAAGACCACAGCACCGCAUGGUGCAGGGGUAAAAACUCCGGUGGUACAGGAUGGACCCGCGUCUGAUUAGCUGGUUGGUGAGGUAACGGCUCACCAAGGCGACGAUCAGUAGCCGGCUUGAGAGAGUGAACGGCCACAUUGGGACUGAGACACGGCCCAAACUCCUACGGGAGGCAGCAGUGGGGAAUAUUGCACAAUGGGGGAAACCCUGAUGCAGCGACGCCGCGUGAGUGAAGAAGUAUCUCGGUAUGUAAAGCUCUAUCAGCAGGGAAGAAAAUGACGGUACCUGACUAAGAAGCCCCGGCUAACUACGUGCCAGCAGCCGCGGUAAUACGUAGGGGGCAAGCGUUAUCCGGAAUUACUGGGUGUAAAGGGUGCGUAGGUGGUAUGGCAAGUCAGAAGUGAAAACCCAGGGCUUAACUCUGGGACUGCUUUUGAAACUGUCAGACU
Molecule: ribosomal RNA, 643 nt
Filed under: Anaerostipes hadrus
Lineage: Bacteria; Bacillati; Bacillota; Clostridia; Lachnospirales; Lachnospiraceae
Description: bacterial SSU rRNA
Rfam family: Bacterial small subunit ribosomal RNA
Source: RNAcentral